Molecule: ribosomal RNA, 485 nt
Filed under: uncultured bacterium
Lineage: Bacteria
Description: bacterial SSU rRNA
Rfam family: Bacterial small subunit ribosomal RNA
Source: RNAcentral
AUUGAACGCUGGCGGCAUGCCUUACACAUGCAAGUCGAACGGCAGCACGGGAGCAAUCCUGGUGGCGAGUGGCGAACGGGUGAGUAAUAUAUCGGAACGUGCCCAGUCGUGGGGGAUAACGUAGCGAAAGCUACGCUAAUACCGCAUACUAUCUAUGGAUGAAANCGGGGGAUCGCAAGACCUCGCGCGAUUGGAGCGGCCGAUAUCGGAUUAGGUAGUUGGUGAGGUAAAGGCUCACCAAGCCGACGAUCUGUAGCUGGGUCUGAGAGGACGACCAGCCACACUGGGACUGAGACACGGCCCAGACUCCUACGGGAGGCAGCAGUGGGGAAUUUUGGACAAUGGGCGCAAGCCUGAUCCAGCAAUGCCGCGUGCAGGAUGAAGGCCUUCGGGUUGUAAACUGCUUUUGUACGGAACGAAACGGUGAGCUCUAAUACAGUUUGCUAAUGACGGUACCGUAAGAAUAAGCACCGGCUAACUACGUG